GAUGAACGCUGGCGGCGUGCCUAAUACAUGCAAGUCGAGCGAACAGACGAGGAGCUUGCUCCUCUGACGUUAGCGGCGGACGGGUGAGUAACACGUGGAUAACCUACCUAUAAGACUGGGAUAACUUCGGGAAACCGGAGCUAAUACCGGAUAACAUGUUGAACCGCAUGGUUCAACAGUGAAAGACGGUUUUGCUGUCACUUAUAGAUGGAUCCGCGUCGCAUUAGCUAGUUGGUAAGGUAACGGCUUACCAAGGCAACGAUGCGUAGCCGACCUGAGAGGGUGAUCGGCCACACUGGAACUGAGACACGGUCCAGACUCCUACGGGAGGCAGCAGUAGGGAAUCUUCCGCAAUGGGCGAAAGCCUGCCGGAGCAACGCCGCGUGAGUGAAGAAGGUCUUCGGAUCGUAAAACUCUGUUAUUAGGGAAGAACAAAUGUGUAAGUAACUAUGCACGUCUUGACGGUACCUAAUCAGAAAGCCACGGCUAACUACGUG
RNAcentral lists this ribosomal RNA (497 nucleotides) under uncultured bacterium. RNAcentral describes it as "partial 16S ribosomal RNA". It matches the Rfam family "Bacterial small subunit ribosomal RNA", at positions 28 to 507 of the family's 1533-position model. The record is from RNAcentral.